RNAcentral lists this ribosomal RNA (736 nucleotides) under uncultured bacterium. RNAcentral's name for it is "bacterial SSU rRNA". It matches the Rfam family "Bacterial small subunit ribosomal RNA", at positions 53 to 849 of the family's 1533-position model. The record is from RNAcentral.
ACAUGCAGUCGAGCGCCGCAGGGGAGCGGCAGACGGGAGAGUACACGUGGGACGUACCUUUGGUUCGGAACAACCCAGGGAAACUUGGGCUAAUACCGGAUAAGCCCUUACGGGGAAAGAUUUAUCGCCGAAGGAUCGGCCGCGUCUGAUUAGCUAGUUGGUGGGGUAACGGCCCACCAAGGCGACGAUCAGUAGCUGGUCUGAGAGGAUGAUCAGCUCACUGGGACUGAGACACGGCCAGACUCCUACGGGAGGCAGCAGUGGGGAAUAUUUGGACAAUGGGCGCAAGCCUUGAUCCAGCCAUGCCGCGUGGGUGAUGAAGGCCCUAGGGUUGUAAAGCCCUUUCGGCGGGGAAGAUAAUGACGGUACCCGCAGAAGAAGCCCCGGCUAACUUCGUGCCAGCAGCCGCGGUAAUACGAAGGGGGCUAGCGUUGCUCGGAAUCACUGGGCGUAAAGCGCACGUAGGCGGCUUCUUAAGUCGGGGGUGAAAUCCUGGAGCUCAACUCCAGAACUGCCUUCGAUACUGAGGAGCUUGAGUCCGGGAGAGGUGAGUGGAACUGCGAGUGUAAGGUGAAAUUCGUAAUAUUCGCAAGAACACCAGUGGGAAGGCGGUCACUGGCCCGGUACUGACGCUGAGGUGCGAAAGCGUGGGGAGCAAAACAGGAUUAGAUACCCUGGUAGUCCACGCCGUAAACGAUGGAUGCUAGCCGUUGGCGGGUUUACCCGUCAGUGGGCA